GAUGAACGCUGGCGGCGUGCCUAAUACAUGCAAGUCGAGCGAACGGACGAGAAGCUUGCUUCUCUGAUGUUAGCGGCGGACGGGUGAGUAACACGUGGAUAACCUACCUAUAAGACUGGGAUAACUUCGGGAAGCCGGAGCUAAUACCGGAUAAUAUUUUGAACCGCAUGGUUCAAAAGUGAAAGACGGUCUUGCUGUCACUUAUAGAUGGAUCCGCGCUGCAUUAGCUAGUUGGUAAGGUAACGGCUUACCAAGGCAACGAUGCAUAGCCGACCUGAGAGGGUGAUCGGCCACCCUGGAACUGAGACACGGUCCAGACUCCUACGGGAGGCAGCAGUAGGGAAUCUUCCGCAAUGGGCGAAAGCCUGACGGAGCAACGCCGCGUGAGUGAUGAAGGUCUUCGGAUCGUAAAACUCUGUUAUUAGGGAAGAACAUAUGUGUAAGUAACUGUGCACAUCUUGACGGUACCUAAUCAGAAAGCCACGGCUAACUACGUG
RNAcentral lists this ribosomal RNA (497 nucleotides) under uncultured bacterium. RNAcentral describes it as "partial 16S ribosomal RNA". It matches the Rfam family "Bacterial small subunit ribosomal RNA", at positions 28 to 507 of the family's 1533-position model. The record is from RNAcentral.